GUAGGGGGGCAAGCGUUGUCCGGGAAUUAUUGGGGCGUAAAGCGCGCGCAGGCGGUCAUGUAAGUCUGGUGGUUUAAUCCCGGGGGGGCUCAACCCCGGGAUCGCACUGGAAACUGUGUGACUUGAGUGCAGAAGAGGAGAGUGGAAUUCCACGUGUAGCGGUGAAAUGCGUAGAGAUGUGGAGGAACACCAGUGGCGAAGGCGACUCUCUGGGCUGUAACUGACGCUGAGGCGCGAAAGCGUGGGGAGCAAACAGGAUUAGAUACCCUGGUAGUCCACGCCGUAAACGAUGAGUGCUAGGUGUUAGGGGUUUCGAUACCCUUGGUGCCGAAGUUAACACAUUAAGCACUCCGCCUGGGGAGUACGGUCGCAAGACUG
RNAcentral lists this ribosomal RNA (378 nucleotides) under uncultured organism. RNAcentral's name for it is "partial 16S ribosomal RNA". It matches the Rfam family "Bacterial small subunit ribosomal RNA", at positions 526 to 896 of the family's 1533-position model. The record is from RNAcentral.